ACAUCGAAAAUUCACUCUUCUAUCAGAUUAGCGUUGGAAUGAGUUUCACAGUAGGUCUUGGAGUUGGGUACAAAGAUUUAAGUGCAUUUGAAUUUUAAAUUUGCAAACCUAACAUUGUUCCUUCCCCAAAGUGCUCUGUUCUUUGUUGGCUCCUUUAAGUGGCUAGGUUACUACGGGAUACUGUUCGCCAUCUCAGAGAAUCCUAGUUGGGCUCCCUUUUCUCAGCUGUGAUCUAAUUGAUAUUCUGAUAUUUCCUCUAGAUCAAGAGGGAUGGUGUUUGGACCGGCCAAUUUAGGGGAAGAUGCAAUUAGAAGCUUCAUUGCAAAACAUCGCUGCAACUCCUGCUGUGGGAAGCUCAGGCUGCCGGAUUUAAAAAGGAAUGACUACUCCCAUGCAAGGGCACAUUGCAACUUGGAACUUGCAAAAACCACUGAACCAGCUGAGGAACAUCCAGAAAGAGACAGAAAUAGAAGUCCCCUGGAAGAUCACACACGCCUUUAAAAAGGAAGAUGAAGGAAGAUGAUGGUCCCUUAGCUCCUUCUGCCAUGAUUUCUGUGGUAAUAGACAUAGACUGACACGAUCCUGACUAUGCCAGAAUCUCUGUCACGAUGACUUUACAGUGUGGACCUCCCUGGAGGUACCCUCUGAGCCUCAUCUCUCACUGCCCGGCAGAGGGCACCGUGUCUAAUGGAGGGACCCUCCUGGAUACUGACUUCUGAGAAGAAUGUGUGGCAUACACUCUCCUCUCCCGGUUCUGCAUGAAGAUACUAGAUGAGUCCGUUGGGAAGACUUUCCUUUAUACCUCAUUGCGUCAGCUGCCCACUUGGAGUAGAAUGCUGUGUACUAAAGAACCAGGGAAUAAAUUAAUUUAUUUUCUC
This 878-nucleotide long non-coding RNA is filed under the name Rattus norvegicus (Norway rat). RNAcentral's name for it is "long non-coding RNA NONRATT003614". The record is from RNAcentral. Lineage: Eukaryota; Metazoa; Chordata; Mammalia; Rodentia; Muridae.